AGUACGGAAAAGUGCACGUUUCGAUCAAAGGCCGCGCGUGCUUUGCUUCGCGGAAUGGAUGAUCGGUGACGCCGGACGGAGAGAGGGAACAGGCGCGGCGUCGAGCCGCAGACAGAGCGAGAUAGUACAUGCUAGAGUUGU
Molecule: non-coding RNA, 141 nt
Organism: Caenorhabditis elegans
Lineage: Eukaryota; Metazoa; Nematoda; Chromadorea; Rhabditida; Rhabditidae
Source: Ensembl